RNAcentral lists this ribosomal RNA (253 nucleotides) under uncultured bacterium. Its description in RNAcentral is "partial 16S ribosomal RNA". It matches the Rfam family "Bacterial small subunit ribosomal RNA", at positions 524 to 776 of the family's 1533-position model. The record is from RNAcentral.
AACGUAGGAGACAAACGUUAUCCGGAGUUACUGGGCGUAAAGGGCGUGCAGGUGGUCUGUUAAGUCUGGUGUGAAAGCUCUCGGCUAAACCGGGAGAGGUCGUUGGAUACUGGCGGACUAGAGGACGGUAGAGGUGUGUGGAAUUCCGGGUGUAGUGGUGAAAUGCGUAGAGAUCCGGAGGAACACCAGUGGCGAAGGCGACACACUGGGCCGUACCUGACACUAAGACGCGACAGCAUGGGGAGCGAACGGG